Molecule: ribosomal RNA, 217 nt
Filed under: Paenibacillus sp. CGMCC 1.18879
Lineage: Bacteria; Bacillati; Bacillota; Bacilli; Caryophanales; Paenibacillaceae
Description: partial 23S ribosomal RNA
Rfam family: Bacterial large subunit ribosomal RNA
Source: RNAcentral
AAGAGCCGGUAUUAAGGCUUGAGGCCAAAUGGUUCCCAGGGGAUAAACACAGGGCUUCGAGGCAGGAGUGAAGUCGAUCCAGGGGUAGGGGAGCGUUGUAUGCGGAUUGAAGGUUGACCGAGAGGACAGCUGGACUUCAUACAAGUGAGAAUGCCGGUAUGAGUAACGAAAAGAUCAGUGAGAAUCUGAUCCGCCGAAAGCCCAAGGUUUCCUGAGG